Molecule: ribosomal RNA, 497 nt
Filed under: uncultured bacterium
Lineage: Bacteria
Description: partial 16S ribosomal RNA
Rfam family: Bacterial small subunit ribosomal RNA
Source: RNAcentral
GACGAACGCUGGCGGCGUGCCUAAUACAUGCAAGUUGAGCGCUGAAGGUUGGUACUUGUACCAACUGGAUGAGCAGCGAACGGGCGAGUAACGCGUGGGGAAUCUGCCUUUGAGCGGGGGACAACAUUUGGAAACGAAUGCUAAUACCGCAUAAAAACUUUAAACACAAGUUUUAAGUUUGAAAGAUGCAAUUGCAUCACCCAAAGAUGAUCCCGCGUUGUAUUAGCUAGUUGGUGAGGUAAAGGCUCACCAAGGCGAUGAUACAUAGCCGACCUGAGAGGGUGAUCGGCCACAUUGGGACUGAGACACGGCCCAAACUCCUACGGGAGGCAGCAGUAGGGAAUCUUCGGCAAUGGACGAAAGUCUGACCGAGCAACGCCGCGUGAGUGAAGAAGGUUUUCGGAUCGUAAAACUCUGUUGGUAGAGAAGAACGUUGGUGAGAGUGGAAAGCUCAUCAAGUGACGGUAACUACCCAGAAAGGGACGGCUAACUACGUG